GAAAGAUAGGAGGGAUGUAAGCAGGGUUAACAGUAACAGAAAGCUUAUUGAUACUGAAGCCAACUGUGUCGCAAGAUCUGUUCUUUUGUUUAAUUUCUGCCCAUAAAACGAAACACCCAGCAACAAAGUAGUCUGGACAUAAGAUAUACCAUAGGCAACAAGAUUUUAAACAAAAAUUGAAGAAUAGUACUGCACAAAGCAUGUCUUAGAUGCAAUCCCAGCAGAAAUAUGGUGAUAUUCUUGUAUUAAUCACUGGUCAAUCAGCAAUUAUGAAAAAAAUCAUCAGUGACUAAACACUUAAACCUUUAAACCAAAUCACAAUACAGAUAAAAAUGGG
Molecule: unclassified non-coding RNA, 337 nt
Filed under: Hevea brasiliensis (rubber tree)
Lineage: Eukaryota; Viridiplantae; Streptophyta; Magnoliopsida; Malpighiales; Euphorbiaceae
Source: RNAcentral